Molecule: non-coding RNA, 79 nt
Organism: Punica granatum (pomegranate)
Lineage: Eukaryota; Viridiplantae; Streptophyta; Magnoliopsida; Myrtales; Lythraceae
Source: Rfam
UCCUAUGAUGGCAUGAAAUCUUUGAGACCUGAUUGUCUUUAUUGGCUUGAUGACAACUACAAGCAUUAUCCCUGAGGAC